This 356-nucleotide ribosomal RNA is filed under the name Trinectes maculatus (hogchoker). RNAcentral's name for it is "partial 12S ribosomal RNA". It matches the Rfam family "Bacterial small subunit ribosomal RNA", at positions 804 to 1360 of the family's 1533-position model. The record is from RNAcentral. Lineage: Eukaryota; Metazoa; Chordata; Actinopteri; Pleuronectiformes; Achiridae.
AAACAUUGAUUAUACCAAUACACAAUAAUCCGCCCGGGAACUACGAACAAAAGUUUAAAACCCAAAGGACUUGGCGGUGCUUAACAUCCACCUAGAGGAGCCUGUUCUAUAACCGAUAAUCCCCGUUCAACCUCACCCCCCCUUGCUAAUAGCCCGCUUAUAUACCGCCAUCGUCAGUCCACCCUAUGAAGGCCCCACAGUCGACAAAACCGGAACAACCCCAAACGUUAGGUCGAGGUGUAGCGUAUGGGGGGGGAAGAAAUGGGCUACAUUUGCUACCACAGCACACUACGAAUGUUAUGUUGAAACACACAACUAAAGGAGGAUUUAGCAGUAAGCAGAAAAUAGAGCGUUCU